AACGAACGCUGGCGGCAUGCCUAACACAUGCAAGUCGAACGAGACCUUCGGGUCUAGUGGCGCACGGGUGCGUAACGCGUGGGAACCUGCCCUUAGGUUCGGAAUAACUCCCCGAAAGGGGUGCUAAUACCGGAUAAUGUCUUCGGACCAAAGAUUUAUCGCCUUUGGAUGGGCCCGCGUUGGAUUAGCUAGUUGGUAGGGUAAAAGCCUACCAAGGCGACGAUCCAUAGCUGGUCUGAGAGGAUGAUCAGCCACACUGGGACUGAGACACGGCCCAGACUCCUACGGGAGGCAGCAGUGGGGAAUAUUGGACAAUGGGCGAAAGCCUGAUCCAGCAAUGACGCGUGAGUGAUGAAGGCCUUAGGGUUGUAAAGCUCUUUUACACGGGAUGAUAAUGACAGUACCGGGAGAAUAAGCUCCGGCUAACUCCGUG
RNAcentral lists this ribosomal RNA (433 nucleotides) under uncultured bacterium. RNAcentral describes it as "partial 16S ribosomal RNA". It matches the Rfam family "Bacterial small subunit ribosomal RNA", at positions 29 to 507 of the family's 1533-position model. The record is from RNAcentral.